Trematosphaeria pertusa is the source of this 90-nucleotide non-coding RNA. Lineage: Eukaryota; Fungi; Ascomycota; Dothideomycetes; Pleosporales; Trematosphaeriaceae. The record is from the annotation of a RefSeq genome assembly.
GGGCGUGUAGCUCAGUGGUAGAGCGCCCGCUUUGCACGGUCACAUGACUACCAGUGCGGGAGGUCUAGGGUUCGAUCCCCUACCCGUCCA